UGAACAAUGGCACAAAGUCUACAUUCAAAGAAAAAAAUAGCAAAGUAUAAAAUCCUGGAACUGACAGAAUCUGACUCUGUAAGGACUUGGAUCAGGCAUGAGAGAAACAAGAAAAAGAGAGCAGGGUGAAGACAAGCUGAAAUCCUACAGUCAUCCAGACUCAUUCUAAAUGAGGCUGCUGCGAAUACACUGAAAGCAAUAUGAAAAGGAAGGGUUCUUCUACCCUAUUGGUAUUAAAAGUUGGAUGGAAGACGAUACAAAAAUAAUGGAAUAUGUGCUAAGAACUGUCUAGGAGUCUGAAACAUGCUACCAGUAUAAUGCUUUUUCACUACUCCAGUGGAAGAGAGCAUCUUCUGCUGACCCACUGAGCAUGGGGAAAAAAUGUAACGUAGGUUUCUGACUAGUCACAUGAUCUUAAC
Molecule: long non-coding RNA, 419 nt
Filed under: Struthio camelus australis
Lineage: Eukaryota; Metazoa; Chordata; Aves; Struthioniformes; Struthionidae
Description: lncRNA (ENSSCUG00000008602.1)
Source: RNAcentral